UACAGAGGCCCCAAGCAUUAUCCGGAAUUACUGGGCGUAAAGGGUGUGUAGGCGGUUUUGUUAGUCUCUUGUGAAAGGCUUUGGGCUUAACCCAGAGACCGCGGGGGAAACGGCAAGACUCGAGGAUGCGAGAGGUAAAGGGAACUCAUGGUGUAGGGGUGAAAUCCGUUGAUAUCAUGGGGAACACCAAAUGCGAAGGCACUUUACUGGCGCACUCCUGACGCUGAGACACGAAAGCGUGGGUAGCGAACGGG
This 254-nucleotide unclassified non-coding RNA is filed under the name uncultured Parcubacteria group bacterium. RNAcentral's name for it is "contains 16S-23S intergenic spacer region". It matches the Rfam family "Bacterial small subunit ribosomal RNA", at positions 524 to 776 of the family's 1533-position model. The record is from RNAcentral.